GAUGAACGCUGGCGGCGUGCCUAAUACAUGCAAGUCGAGCGAACGGACGAGAAUCUUGCUUCUCUGAUGUUAGCGGCGGACGGGUGAGUAACACGUGGAUAACCUACCUAUAAGACUGGGAUAACUUCGGGAAACCGGAGCUAACACCGGAUAAUAUUUUGAACCGCAUGGUUCAAAAGUGAAAGACGGUCUUGCUGUCACUUAUAGAUGGAUCCUGGCUGCAUUAGCUAGUUGGUAAGGUAACGGCUUACCAAGGCUACGAUGCGUAGCCGACCUGAGAGGGUGAUCAGUCACACUGGAACUGAGACACGGUCCAGACUCCUACGGGAGGCAGCAGUGGGGAAUAUUGGACAAUGGGCGAAAGCCUGAUCGAGCAACGCCGCGUGUGUGAUGAAGGUCUUCGGAUCGUAAAGCUCUGUUAGUAGGGAAGAACAUAUGUGUAAGUAACUGUGCACGUCUUGACGGUACCUAAACAGAAAGCCCCGGCUAACUACGUG
This 497-nucleotide ribosomal RNA is filed under the name uncultured bacterium. RNAcentral's name for it is "partial 16S ribosomal RNA". It matches the Rfam family "Bacterial small subunit ribosomal RNA", at positions 28 to 507 of the family's 1533-position model. The record is from RNAcentral.